GUACCGUGAGGGAAAGGUGAAAAGAACUUUAAAAAGAGAGUGAAAUAGCGCUUGAAACCGUUAGGAGGAAAGCGAAUGGAGUUGCUAUACGACCGAGAUAUCUCAAACUGGCACGUAAGUUGGUUUCAGUGUAGUGAUCUCGUGUCUUCGUUCGUAGAAGACUGUCUAUCCUGGCGCGUGCUUAAAUCUCGAUAUCUUAUAUAUGGGAAAUUUAAAGGCUGUCCAGACGAACGUAUAACGACGGCUUCUAAUUUCUAGAAGAAUACUAAUCAUAGAAGUAACGUGCUUGCACGUUUAUUCUAUAUACUGUUCUUAGGACGGACGGAAGGGCUUCAUU
Molecule: ribosomal RNA, 337 nt
Filed under: Teleaulax amphioxeia
Lineage: Eukaryota; Cryptophyceae; Pyrenomonadales; Geminigeraceae
Description: partial 28S ribosomal RNA
Rfam family: Eukaryotic large subunit ribosomal RNA
Source: RNAcentral